UGGGGAAUAUUGCACAAUGGGGGAAACCCUGAUGCAGCGACGCCGCGUGAACGAAGAAGGUAUUCGUAUCGUAAAGUUCUGUCCUAUGGGAAGAUAAUGACAGUACCAUAGAAGAAAGCUCCGGCUAAAUACGUGCCAGCAGCCGCGGUAAUACGUAUGGAGCGAGCGUUGUCCGGAAUUAUUGGGCGUAAAGGGUACGCAGGCGGUUUAAUAAGUAGAUUGUUGAAGAUCGGGGCUCAACCCCGCAAAGCAUUGGAAACUGAUAAACUUGAGUAGUGGGGAGGAAAGUGGAAUUCCUAGUGUAGUGGUGAAAUACGUAGAUAUUAGGAGGAAUACCAGUAGCGAGGGCGACUUUCUGGACACAAACUGACGCUGAGGUACGAGAGCGUGGGGAGAGAACAGG
RNAcentral lists this ribosomal RNA (403 nucleotides) under bacterium. RNAcentral's name for it is "partial 16S ribosomal RNA". It matches the Rfam family "Bacterial small subunit ribosomal RNA", at positions 355 to 776 of the family's 1533-position model. The record is from RNAcentral.